Rattus norvegicus (Norway rat) is the source of this 5789-nucleotide non-coding RNA. Lineage: Eukaryota; Metazoa; Chordata; Mammalia; Rodentia; Muridae. The record is from RefSeq and is a predicted model, not a curated record.
UGACUACCAGGCUCCCUUUCUCUUGCCAGCCUUGUUCUUCAGAGGGUUCUUUAGGCUCUUCCAGCAGGACUCCUAUUCACCUUGAGGUGAAAACCCAGUUCCCCGUCUUCUGGGGAAAGGGGACUUGGCUGCUCCUCCAGCUCAGCUCACCUGUUAGCACAGUCCUAAUAGCAGAGGUGCAGGGAGGAGAGCCCAGUAAUCAGGGCAGCUUUGUCUCAUACAUAUAAAGUGCCCCUUGGCCCUGGUAAUAGUCAAUCCCAUUCAUAGAAGGCCCCAAUAACUCUUGAAAAACAAACCAAGGAAGUCAGAAGAUGAAAACGAGUCUGGGCACGUUUUUCUUUGUCCUUUCUUUUUUCAGUUUCUCUGAGUUGAAGAAGCUUGAGCUUAAAUGCCCCAGAUUCUCCCAGCAGAUAAAUCGAAAGCAAACAAAAGAGACUGAAAAGACACACUGAAGGUUCUCAAAAGUAUGGUAUUCAGAAAUGCCCACCUCUCAGUAAAACUACAGAAAGGUGUAAAGAGGCAGGCGCUGUGACUCUAAGAGGUCAGCCUUCUGAGAGGUUGCAAAGACGGGAGACGGGAGACGGAGAUAGAAGGGUCUGAAUCUUCACCCCGGUAUUGACUGUGCUCCACAUAAUCUAUUAAGUCGUGUGCUUAUUCUGUGUCUCUCCUCAAACUGGGUUUAUUUUAGGUUACUUUACUUACGUUUUACUUUUAUGACAAAAGUGUCCGAGCGUCAGUUUUCCAGAGGUGGAACAGCUGGAUCUUUUAGGAUGCAGCUCCUCCGUGGGUCACUUAUUUUCCUGAUGAUGAACCACGUCUGGGCUUGUCAGCUGUGACCAAACUGUUUGAUGGAGGAAUGUUUAGGGAUGAGUUGCUCUAUGUCUAUGGUUUCUGAGGGUUCAGUUUAUGACACCCUGGUUCCAUGGGCUUGGGCAGAACAUCAUGGUGGCAGAAGUAUUAGAAAGGGAGUUCACUUAUCUUAUGACAGAGGAAGCUGAGAGACAGGAUGGGAUCAGAAGCACGAUAUCCCAAGGUUCACCCCCAGUAAGCUACUACCUCCAGCUAAGUUCCAUCUCCUAAGGUUUCAAGAACCUCACAAAACAGCAUCACCAGCAAAGAGCUUUGCUGAGGCAUAAGAAACGCUGGAAGAGACUUCAUAUUUAAACUGCAGGGAUAGGAUCCUAAAUCUAAAGGCUAACCCCUGACUAUGUUCCACAAGUGGCAUGAAGGAGCUUGGAGGAAACAUGGCCUGCGUUUUAUUCCUUCAAGCAGGUGAAUUACCUCAGUAGACAUUGUUGUGCUUUGCAUGAACUGAAUCAUACCUUCAGACCCGUUCCUCCCACCCCCGCCCAUAGUGUUGGGGGAAGCGGGGUUGUAAUUGAUCCAAAAGCCUUGCCUGCUUAAGGGAGUUCAUAGUAUUUUCCACCAAAGCAAGGCUGCCUCUUGCCUUUUGAGUCCCUUAGGAGCUGUCACUACCUGCCUGUCACUAAGCAGAGCUGUAACUUUCCUCUGCUUCACAGGGGACAGUCACAGGUACUGCCUGUGAUGUGACUCUGACUAAUAUGAAUUCUAGGAACUACCUCUUCCAAGUAAUGAUGUGCUGCUGGUCCUAGCACGUUCAUCAGGGACUCAAAUAUUGUCCCAGUGUCUCUAAAUGCCUGCCUGUGGACCGCUGUCUGGGUGUGUGUGUGUGUGUGUGUGUGUGUGUGUGUGUGUGCCUGUUUGGAGAAAGACAGUCAGUUGCUAGGCAAUGCUUCUCCAACAAGGAGAGUGUGAAAAAAAAUAAAUAAACAGAUGAUGGGAAUGUGGUCCAAAGCUUGUUAUGACAAGAGCACUUGGGUGCAGUUCACUCCCGCUUGAUGGGAGUGUCACGGGGAUGUCAGAGCUUGCUCAGCUCCCUUAUGAGUUCCUUGCCUUUCAGCUCCUCGCCCUCUGUCUUAUGUGGUGGGGAAAGCAGAGAUGAAAUAUGGCUCUCUGGAGGGCUGUGCCUUUGUGAAAGGCUAUUAUAGCUGUAACAAAACUUUUGUAAUCUGUAACCAUAUCCCAUUACAUCUCCAGGCUCCUUGGGUCUCUUCCCAGCCUUAAGGAAAACACACACACGCCCUUUUCUUCCUUUCCUUCUUGCGUUCUUCCUUGCACCCUUGCUAGUUUCCACUCUUUAAAAGGUCAUCCUAGUUGUUCUUUUUACACAGAUUUUUCUCCUUAGCAUUUGAUGGAAAUUGGCCCUAGGUCUCCACAAAGGCUGGGUGGUAUCUGGGCUAUCACUGAACAAGUGGAGGAAACAGGGACUGACCCCAGAUGAGUUUACUUGGGUCAGGGGUUGCAGGGGUUGCUUAACCUUUCUUCUGACCAAAAGAACUAGUCUUUCUUGAGCCUAGACUGUCUUCACACCCUAUUAUUGUCUUCAUUCUUGCUUUGGAGGAAAUUAAUUGGCUUAGAGGUGAAGGAGCUAGUUAAAAAUCAGACCUGGGGUCCUGACUCAAGUGUACUAGUUACUAGCUACACAUCCUUAGGAAAUAACAUCCUAUCUCUCUGCUUCCUCACAUGCAUAAAGAGGUUCCUGUUAACUGCCUUGUUGUUUGAGGGUUACGGGAUGAUCCAUGCCAAAUGCUGUGGAGAGUACACGGAACAUGGAGUACCCUUGGAUACUUACUGUUGAAGCUCGGGACAGUACAUGUGCUUGGGGAAGAAGGACAGCGGCCUGACCCUCAGCAUUCUACCUGCUACUAAAAACCCCUCUCAUGCUUUGAAGAUCAGAGCUCCGGGGUGGGAGGAAGAAGAAGAAGAAGAAGAAAAAACAAAAAAACCAAAGAAACAAAUUCAGAAACAAAGCAAAACAAUGUAAAGGCACCCCCUACCCCACCUCGCCCUCACUCUGUUGUAACAGGUUCACGAAUGACAUCAUUCUUCUGUCUGCUGAAGGAUGCUUCUGAACACCCUGACAGAGUUUUGAGCCAGUUCAGAACUGCCUAGGGUUUGCACCAGGACAACAAGUGUGCUUUUCCAUGGGACUUCCAACUCCCUUGGGGCUGCAGAGCCUCCAGCCUGAAUCUGAAAGCUCGGUCCCCCUGGGUUCAUCAAAGGUGCUGAAUCUCAGUCCGGGCUGAUGUAUGGUGCUUUAGAUUGUCCAUUUACCCCAUAAAGGUUCAGUUCCCAUGUUGGCCAGUCACGGGAUGCCUUCUCAGCUCCAGUGAACUCCUGUGUCUCACGGGCAGUUCCUCCUGGAUCCUCUCUUCUGCCUUUUCCUCAUCAGCCUCACCCUUGGCAGGCUCCCUGUGAAAUUCAGCCUCCAUCUUCUCUCUCCCUCAGAAGCUGGAACAUGUUCAUGCCGAAUUCCCGAUUUUCUCAACUUUGCCAAAACCCAAAGGCCCACAUCCGCCAUGUGCCAAAAAGGAGAGGUUGUUUGAAAGAAUGCAUGAAUGACCUUGAACCUUUGCUCCACACCCCAGUGACAGGUUCACUCCUUCCCUGCCACACCCAGCACACAGGCUUCGUGUGGGAUCAGGGAAUGUUUCCUGGCCUCUUUUCCUUUCCCCUCUCCACCACCCUUCCUCAUGAACACUACUCAGUCGUUCCCUCCCCGUUACCUCUCUUAUGGAAUAUUAAUCAGAGAGUUGACAUCCCAGGGCAGCAAGGGGCUUAGGGAGGACAUUCAACCCAGAUUCCUGCUUCCUGGCAACAGCCAUUCCUGCCUGGGUGAAGGACUCCUUCUUUCAGAAAUGUAUUUUAGAAAUAUUAAGAACUCAUUAAGGAAAAAUUUAGAAAUCAUUAAGACUCUGUUCCCCCCCCCCCAACCCCGCCUUGGUGUCUUUGAAAUGUAAUUAAAAAAAUGUUUGCUUUCUUAGUAUGUCAAAGAAAUAGCAUCCCUCCCAUAUUUUUUACAGCACAAUUCACAAAAUCGGAGAUUUGGAAUCUACUAGGUAUUCAAACGCAGAUGAAUUAGUGAGGGACAUGCCGUGUGUAUAUACAAUGGAAUAGCAUGCCACCUUAAAGUAGAAUGGCAUUCGGUCAUCGAAAACAAUACUCAGAUGAGCAGGAGGAUGUUAUGUUAGCUGGAAUAAGUCAGGCAUAGAAAGAGACAUACUGCAUGUUCUCACCUCUGUGUAAAAGUAAAUACCAGAAUAGUGAUUACCAAAGGCUGGGAAUACUGUGUGUGCUGGGCAUGGGGGAUGGAGAGAACCAUGCGAUUGAAUGAAAAAAAAAAACAGCACUAAUCUUCACAGAGUCUAACUACACAUGGUAAGUAAAUGAUGUAUUCCAAAUGAGCAGAAUUUUGGAUGCUUUUAACACAAAUGAAUGACAAAUGUUUGAGAUGAUAUUGACAAUUGUCUUAAUUUGAUCCUUUGUUGUAAUUUGACUAUACAUAUGUAUAUCACUGUAUAUUCAUAAACAUACAUUCCAAUUGCAAACUUAAAAUGUUUCAAGGAGUCAUUGAGAUGGUUCAGUAGGUGAAAGCACUUGUUGAUACAUUUGAUGACUCAAGUUCAAUCCCAGGACCUACCUGGUUGAAAGCCUCUGCUGACUCUUGCAAGUCGUCCUUUGACCAUCAUAAGCACGUUGUGGAGUGUAUUUGUUCACAGGAAGGAAGAAGGGAAGGAAGGAAGGAAGGAAGGGAGGGAGGGAGGAAGGAAGGAAGGAAGGAAGGAAGGAAGGAAGGAAGGAAGGAAGAAAGGAAGGAGGUGGUGUUCUCUUCUGGCAGAUGUUCACCAACAACCCUUUCCCUAUGUCAGGCAGAGUUCUUGGGGCACUGGAUAUGACGAUGGGAUUUUAGAGGUAAAGACUACAGGCAGCCAGAGGUAGCUCUUCUGUGGAGUAUGUGACAGAGCUAUAGUCAGAUGCCAAGAAUGGAGGUUAAACAGGAGUUGUUGCAAAUCUAUCAUGAGGCCUUCUGACAUGCAAAUGACUCCGUGCUUGUAAAUAACACCCUAGUAACUCAGCUCUAAAUGCAGGCAUCACAGGAUGAAAUAUUUUGGACCCAGAGGUUGAUGACUGAUUUUGAUUUACUGAGUAUUGUUUGACUCUAGCUCUGCUGUCCUGAGGGCUAAGCAUAGACAUGCAAGAUUCCUUCCCCUGCCUCCAGGGAUCUAAAGGGACAAAAGGGUCAUCUUUCUUUGACCUUGGGCUCUUAAGAGAACAGAUGCCAAGCCCUCUGCCUUCCUUGGUAGGGUUAUCUUGUUAGGGCUUCCAUUGCUGGGAAGAGACACCAUGACCAAGGCAACUCUUAUAAAGGCAAACAUUUAAUUGGGGCUGGCUUACAGUUUCAGAGGUUUAGUCCGUUAUCAUCAUGGUGGGAAGUAUGGCAGCGUGCAGGCAGACAUGGUGCUGGAGGAGCCUCAGAUUUCUACAUCUUAAUCUAAAGGCAGCUAGAAGGAGACAGUCUUCUACACUGGGUAGAGCUUGUGCACUAGGAGACCCCAAAGCCCACCGACACAGUGAUACACGUCCCGCAAGGCCACACCUAUUUUAACAAAGCCAGACCCCUAAUAGUGCCACUUCCCAUGGGCUAGGCAUAUUCAAACUACCACUGGGGCAUAUGUUCUGAAAACCCACUCUUUCCUUGUAUUGUAUUUACAUUUUACUUCUUAUCUCUCUAGUUUGUCUCAUCCCUUUAAGGAUUUAGAUGUGCACCUUUUUUCACCAUCCAACUACAUUUUUAGCAUUUGAAGUUUUGUUGUUUUUAGAGAUUUAUUUUAUGAUCCUUUGUGUGUGUGUGUGUGUGUGUGUGUGUGUGUGUGUGUGUGUGUGUGUGUGUGUGUAUCUUUAUGUCUCUCUCUGUGUGUUUGCAUGUA